RNAcentral lists this ribosomal RNA (497 nucleotides) under uncultured bacterium. RNAcentral describes it as "partial 16S ribosomal RNA". It matches the Rfam family "Bacterial small subunit ribosomal RNA", at positions 28 to 507 of the family's 1533-position model. The record is from RNAcentral.
GAUGAACGCUGGCGGCGUGCCUAAUACAUGCAAGUCGAGCGAACAGACGAGGAGCUUGCUCCUCUGACGUUAGCGGCGGACGGGUGAGAAACACGUGGAUAACCUACCUAUAAGACUGGGAUAACUUCGGGAAACCGGAGCUAAUACCGGAUAAUAUAUUGAACCGCAUGGUUCAAUAGUGAAAGACGGUUUUGCUGUCACUUAUAGAUGGAUCCGCGCCGCAUUAGCUAGUUGGUAAGGUAACGGCUUACCAAGGCAACGAUGCGUAGCCGACCUGCGAGGGGGAUCGGCCGCACGGGAGCUGAGACGCGGUCCAGACUCCUACGGGAGGCAGCAGUAGGGAAUCUGCCGCAGUGGGCGAAAGCCUGACGGAGCAACGCCGCGUGAGUGAUGGAGGUCUUCGGAUCGUAAAACUCUGUUAUUAGGGAAGAACAAAUGUGUAAGUAACUAUGCACGUCUUGACGGUACCUAAUCAGAAAGCCACGGCUAACUACGUG